ACGGAAGGCAGCAGUGGGGAAUAUUGGGCAAUGGGGGAAACCCUGACCCAGCAACGCCGCGUGAAGGAAGAAGGCCUUCGGGUUGUAAACUUCUUUUACCAGGGACGAAGAAUGACGGUACCUGGGGAAAAAGCAACGGCUAACUACGUGACAGCAGCCGCGGUAAUACGUAGGUUGCAAGCGUUGUCCGGAUUUACUGGGUGUAAAGGGCGUGUAGGCGGAGCUGCAAGUCAGAUGUGAAAUCCCGGGGCUCAACCCCGGAACUGCAGUUGAAGCUGUAGCCCUUGAGUAUCGGAGAGGCAAGCGGAAUUCCUAGUGUAGCGGUGAAAUGCGUAGAUAUUAGGAGGAACACCAGUGGCGAAGGCAGCUUGCUGGACGACAACUGACGCUGAGGCGCGAAAGCGCGGGGAGCAAACAGGAUUAGAUACCCUGGUA
Molecule: ribosomal RNA, 435 nt
Filed under: uncultured Oscillospiraceae bacterium
Lineage: Bacteria; Bacillati; Bacillota; Clostridia; Eubacteriales; Oscillospiraceae
Description: bacterial SSU rRNA
Rfam family: Bacterial small subunit ribosomal RNA
Source: RNAcentral